GCGGGGGUAGCCAAGCGGUCAACGGUGCAGGGCUUAGGACCCUGUGGCGCAGGCCUUCGUGGGUUCGAAAUGGCAUAAGCCACGAAAAUCCCACCCCCCGCA
This 102-nucleotide transfer RNA is filed under the name Thermoplasmatales archaeon. Its description in RNAcentral is "tRNA-Leu". It matches the Rfam family "tRNA". Rfam says of the family: Transfer RNA (tRNA) molecules are approximately 80 nucleotides in length. Their secondary structure includes four short double-helical elements and three loops (D, anti-codon, and T loops). The record is from RNAcentral. Lineage: Archaea; Methanobacteriati; Thermoplasmatota; Thermoplasmata; Thermoplasmatales. RNAcentral also lists the same sequence under 1 other name.